AAAAACCAAAAUUGAAAAACUAGGGGGGAGGGCAUCUUUUUCAGUAUCCCUGGAGUGGCAGUUUUUAAGAUGGAUGACUACCCAUAUCAACAGAAUGGCGAGGUACAGUCGACUCACUUUUUUCCUUUUUCAGUCUCUCACGUGUUCCCACAACAUUGCCACGACUUAGGCAGAGAAUCACUGAGAACCAUCGUUUUCAUUUUUAUUUCCCGUUUCUUCAAUCAAGGUGCAGCAAGAACCGACGCGGCGGCCAGGAACAAAGAUGUGGGUUUACAAGUCCGUAGGCGACCAAGAAAUAAGCAGGUUCAGUCUGGGCAAAGGCAUGGGACAACAAACGCAUAGGGAAAGUCACAAAAGCUGACAAAAAACCAGAGGGUGGAUACGGCAAGCUUCCCGUGAUCUUUUCUUCCUUUAUUUCAAGUAGUUUUUAGUAGACAGCAACAUCUUUGAUCAUACCAGCCUAAUUUACAUCUUGAUCAUACCAGCAUAAUUUUCUUACUUCAUUUGAUGUUGUUGUUUUUCCCCUGCGGCUUUAUUCACACUGCCAACCAGAUGAAGCCAAUAUACACGAGGAAAAGGGGAAUGGUCUUUUUGUUGGUUAUGAG
Molecule: long non-coding RNA, 605 nt
Filed under: Triticum aestivum (bread wheat)
Lineage: Eukaryota; Viridiplantae; Streptophyta; Magnoliopsida; Poales; Poaceae
Description: long non-coding RNA (TAES_LNC026397)
Source: RNAcentral